RNAcentral lists this ribosomal RNA (309 nucleotides) under Triticum aestivum (bread wheat). RNAcentral's name for it is "partial small subunit ribosomal RNA". Lineage: Eukaryota; Viridiplantae; Streptophyta; Magnoliopsida; Poales; Poaceae. The record is from RNAcentral.
AUGAGCUCAAGCCGGGACCCCCUACAUCAGCGGGAUCGAGCUCCAUCUACUUCGGACCACCGCCGGCGCUCGUCUUCGAUUCCGGCACCGUCGAGCCCUCCCCGAGCCCACUUAGCACCUCUACAGGCUCGCAACCCCGAGACCGACGCUGAUGCCCCUGAGUACGACUACGUCGACGAGCACCCCUCCUUCUUGCCAGAGCAACCAGAUGCCGGAGCCCAGGAGCCAGACGCCACCCUCGACGACGACUCCUACUACACUGGAGGUGCCUACUACUACGUCCAGGCCACUGACGACGACCAGGAGUAA